This 512-nucleotide ribosomal RNA is filed under the name uncultured bacterium. RNAcentral's name for it is "partial 16S ribosomal RNA". The record is from RNAcentral.
GGAGUUAGCCGGUGCUUCUUCUGUGAGUGAUGUCCUUCCUGCCGGCUAUUAACCCGCAGGCCUUCUUCCUCACUGAAAGUGCUUUAACAACCCGAAGGCCUUCUUCACACACGCGGCAUGGCUGGAUCAGGGUUGCCCCCAUUGUCCAAUAUUCCCCACUGCUGCCUCCCGUAGGAGUCUGGGCCGUGUCUCAGUCCCAGUGUGGCUGGAUCAUCCUCUCCAGACCAGCUACGGAUCGUCGCCUUGGUGAGCCGUUACCUCACCAACCAGCUAAUCCGACAUAGGCUCAUCCGAUAGCGCGAGGCCCGAAGGUCCCCCGCUUUCCCCCGUAGGGCGUAUGCGGUAUUAGCCUGGGUUUCCCCAGGUUAUCCCCCGACUAUCGGGCAGAUUCCUAUGCAUUACUCACCCGUCCGCCGCUCGCCACCAGGGAGCAAGCUCCCCGUGCUGCCGCUCGACUUGCAUGUGUUAGCUGCCGCCACGCGUCACUACUACGACCAUGAUACAACUACUGA